This 496-nucleotide ribosomal RNA is filed under the name uncultured bacterium. Its description in RNAcentral is "partial 16S ribosomal RNA". It matches the Rfam family "Bacterial small subunit ribosomal RNA", at positions 28 to 506 of the family's 1533-position model. The record is from RNAcentral.
GAUGAACGCUGGCGGCGUGCCUAAUACAUGCAAGUCGAGCGAACGGACGAGAAGCUUGCUUUUCUGAUGUUAGCGGCGGACGGGUGAGUAACACGUGGAUAACCUACCUAUAAGACUGGGAUAACUUCGGGAAACCGGAGCUAAUACCGGAUAAUAUUUUGAACCGCAUGGUUCAAAAGUGAAAGACGGUCUUGCUGUCACUUAUAGAUGGAUCCGCGCUGCAUUAGCUAGUUGGUAAGGUAACGGCUUACCAAGGCAACGAUGCAUAGCCGACCUGAGAGGGGGUCCGACCACCUGGGACGUGAGCCACGGUCCAAACCCCUGGGGGGGGCAAGAGUGGGGAAUCUGCCGGAAGGGGGGAAGGCCGAACGGGGCAAAGCGGGGGAAGUGAUGAGGGUCUUCGGUUCGUAAAACGUUUUUAUUAGGAAAAAAAUUAUGUUUAAGUACCUGGGAUCAUAUUGACGGUACCUAAUCAAAAAGCCCCGGCUAACUCCGU